This 320-nucleotide ribosomal RNA is filed under the name Tubifex blanchardi. Its description in RNAcentral is "partial 16S ribosomal RNA". It matches the Rfam family "Bacterial large subunit ribosomal RNA", at positions 2039 to 2592 of the family's 2925-position model. Lineage: Eukaryota; Metazoa; Annelida; Clitellata; Tubificida; Naididae. The record is from RNAcentral.
AAAUUUAUCUUUAAGUGAAGAAGCUUAAAUACACAUGCAGGACAAGAAGACCCUAUAGAGCUUUACCUAAAGAGUACAAAUAAAGUAAUCUGCGGUUCGGUUGGGGCGACCAGGGGACAUCAAUCACCCCCAAAAAUCUAAGAUUUACCAAUCAUCAUAAAGAUCCUUACAUAAGAUCCAAGAAUCAAGCUACCUUAGGGAUAACAGGCUAAUCCCCUUAGAGAGCCCUUAUCGACAAGGGGGGUUGGCACCUCGAUGUUGGCUUAGGAUUUCUCCGUUGUCGCAGCCGACACGGUUAGAUGGUUUGUUCAACCAUUAAA